RNAcentral lists this long non-coding RNA (9237 nucleotides) under Citrus x clementina. RNAcentral describes it as "Citrus clementina (C. clementina) long non-coding RNA (CCLE_LNC003162)". The record is from RNAcentral. Lineage: Eukaryota; Viridiplantae; Streptophyta; Magnoliopsida; Sapindales; Rutaceae.
GGUGGGCUAUAGCCUUGGGGGGUGGGGCUGGCCAUCUUCGUCCGCCGGACUCAAAAUGCGGCGACACUUUGCGAGGGGCCUCCGUGUGCCAAAAAUAGGCCGCGGACAAAGCCGCGCCCAAAAAUAACCGCCCGAAGGCCAGGGCGCCAAGUUCGUCCAGCGGAAAAAGGCCACAAAAACGGGUGGGCUAUAGCCUUGGGGGGUGGGGCAAGCCGACUUCGUCCGCCGGACUCAGAAUGCCGCGAGACUUUGUAAGGGGCCUCCGUGUGCCAAAAAUAGGCCGCGGGCAAUGCCGCGCCCAAAAAUAACCGCCCGAAGGCCGUGCCGCCAAGUUCGUCCAGCGGAAAAAAGCCACAAAAACGGGUGGGCUAUAUCCUUGGGGGGUGGGGCAAGCCGACUACGUCCGCCGGACUCAGAAUGCCGCGAGACUUUGUAAGGGGCCUCCGUGUGCCAAAAAUAGGCCGCGGACAAAGCCGCGCCCAAAAAUAACCGCCCGAAGGCCAGGGCGCCAAGUUCGUCCAGCGGAAAAAGGCCACAAAAACGGGUGGGCUAUAGCCUUGGGGGGUGGGGCAAGCCGACUUCGUCCGCCGGACUCAGAAUGCCGCGAGACUUUGUAAGGGGCCUCCGUGUGCAAAAAAUAGGCCGCGGGCAAAGCCGCGCCCAAAAAUAACCGCCCGAAGGCCGGGGCGCCAAGUUCGUCCAGCGGAAAAAGGCCACAAAAACGGGUGGGCUAUAUCCUUGGGGGGUGGGGCAAGCCGACUUCGUCCGCCGGACUCAGAAUGCCGCGAGACUUUGUAAGGGGCCUCCGUGUGCCAAAAAUAGGCCGCGGGCAAAGCCGCGCCCAAAAAUAACCGCCCGAAGUCCGGGGCGCCAAGUUCGUCCAGCGGAAAAAAGCCACAAAAACGGGUGGGCUAUAGCCUUGGGGGGUGGGGCUGGCCAACUUCGUCCGCCGAACUCAGAAUGCCGCGAGACUUUGCGAGGGGCCUCCUUGUACCAAAAAAUAAGCCGCGGGCAAAGCCGCGCCCAAAAAAAACCGCUCGAAGGCCGGGGAGCCAAGUNNNNNNNNNNNNNNNNNNNNNNNNNNNNNNNNNNNNNNNNNNNNNNNNNNNNNNNNNNNNNNNNNNNNNNNNNNNNNNNNNNNNNNNNNNNNNNNNNNNNNNNNNNNNNNNNNNNNNNNNNNNNNNNNNNNNNNNNNNNNNNNNNNNNNNNNNNNNNNNNNNNNNNNNNNNNNNNNNNNNNNNNNNNNNNNNNNNNNNNNNNNNNNNNNNNNNNNNNNNNNNNNNNNNNNNNNNNNNNNNNNNNNNNNNNNNNNNNNNNNNNNNNNNNNNNNNNNNNNNNNNNNNNNNNNNNNNNNNNNNNNNNNNNNNNNNNNNNNNNNNNNNNNNNNNNNNNNNNNNNNNNNNNNNNNNNNNNNNNNNNNNNNNNNNNNNNNNNNNNNNNNNNNNNNNNNNNNNNNNAUAGCCUUGGGGGGUGGGUCUGGCCACUUCGUCCGCCGGACUCGGAAUGCCGCGAGACUUUGCGAGGGGCGUCCGUGUGCCAAAAAUAGGCCGCGGGCAAAGGCGCGCCCAAAAUAACCGCCCGAAGGCCGGGGCGCCAAGUUCGUCCGGUGGAAAAAGGCCACAAAAACGGGUGGGCUAUAGCCUUGGGGGGUGGGGCUGGCCAUCUUCGUCCGCCGGACUCGGAAUGCGGUGAGACUUUGCGAGGGAACUCCGUGUGCCAUAAAUAAUCCAUGGGCAAAGCCGCGCCUAAAAAUAACCACCCGAAGGCCGGGGCACCAAGUUCGUCCAGCGGUAAAAGGCCACAAAAACGGGUGGGCUAUAGCCUUGGGGGGUGGGGCUGGCCAACUUCGUCCGCCGGACUCAAAAUGCGGCGACACAUUGCGAGGGGCCUCCGUGUGCCAAAAAUAGGCCGCGGGCAAAGGCGCGCCCAAAAUAACCGCCCGAAGGCCGGGGCGCCAAGUUCGUCCGGCGGAAAAAGGCCACAAAAACGGGUGGGCUAUAGCCUUGGGGGGUGGGGCUGGCCAUCUUCGUCCGCCGGACUCGGAAUGCGGUGAGACUUUGCGAGGGAACUCCGUGUGCCAUAAAUAAUCCAUGGGCAAAGCCGCGCCCAAAAAUAACCGCCCGAAGGCCGGGGCGCCAAGUUCGGCCAGCGGAAAAAGGCCACAAACACGUGUGGGCUAUAGCCUUGGGCGGUGGGGCAACCCGCCUUCGUCCGCCGGACUCAGAAUGCCGCGAGACUUUGUAAGGGGCCUCCGUGUGCCAAAAAUAGGCCGCGGGCAAAGCCGCGUCCAAAAAUAACCCCCCGAAGUCCGGGGCGCCAAGUUCGUCCAGCGGAAAAAGGCCACAAAAACGGGUGGGCUAUAGCCUUGGGGGUUGGGGCUGGCCAACUUCGUCCGCCGGACUCAGAAUGCCGCGAGACUUUGCGAGGGGCCUCCUUGUGCCAAAAAUAGGCCGCGGACAAGGCCGCGCCCAAAAAUAACCGCCCGAAGGCCGGGGCGCCAAGUUCGUCCAGCGGAAAAAGGCCACAAAAACGGGUGGGCUAUAGCCUUGGGGGGUGGGGCUGGCCCACUUCGUCCGCCGGACUCGGAAUGCCACGAGACUUUGCGAGGGGCCUUUGUGUGCCAAAAAUAGGCCGUGGACAAAGCCGCGCCCAAAAAUAACCGCCCGACAGCCGGGGCGCCAAGUUCGUCCAGCGGAAAAAGGCCACAAAGACGGGUGGGCUAUAGCCUUGGGGGUUGGGGCUGGCCAACUUCGUCCGCCGGACUCAGAAUGCCGCGAGACUUUGCGAGGGGCCUCCUUGUGCCAAAAAUAGGCCGCGGACAAGGCCGCGCCCAAAAAUAACCGCCCGAAGGCCGGGGCGCCAAGUUCGUCCAGCGGAAAAAGGCCACAAAAACGGGUGGGCUAUAGCCUUGGGGGGUGGGGCUGGCCCACUUCGUCCGCCGGACUCGGAAUGCCACGAGACUUUGCGAGGGGCCUUUGUGUGCCAAAAAUAGGCCGUGGACAAAGCCGCGCCCAAAAAUAACCGCCCGACAGCCGGGGCGCCAAGUUCGUCCAGCGGAAAAAGGCCACAAAGACGGGUGGCUAUAGCCUUGGGGGGUGGGGCUGGCCCACUUCGUCCGCCGGACUCGGAAUGGCGCGAGACUUUGCGAGGUGACUCCAUGUGCCAAAAAUAGGCAGUGGACACUGCCGCGCCCAAAAAUAACCGCCCGAAGGCCGGGGCGCCAGGAUCGUCCAGCGGAAAAAGGCCACAAAAACGGGUGGGCUAUAGCCUUCGGGGGUGGGGCUGGCCAACUUCGUCCGCCGGACUAGGAAUGGUACGAGAGUUUGCGAGUCGCCUCCGUGUGCCAAAAAUAGGCUGCGGGCACAGACGCGCCCAAAAAUAACCGCCCGAAGGCCGGGGCGCCAAGUUCGUCCAGCGGAAAAAGGCCACAAAAACGGGUGGUCUAUAGCCUUGGGCGGUGGGGCUGGCCAACUUCGUCCGCCGGACUCGGAAUGCCGCGAGACUUUGCGAGGGGCCUCCGUGUACCAAAAAUAGGCCACGGGCAAGGCCGCGCCCAAAAAUAACCAACCAAAGGCCGGGGCGCCAAGUUCGUCCAGCGGAAAAAGGCCACAAAAACGGGUGGGCUAUAGGCUUGGCGGCUGGGGCUGGCCAACUUCGUCCGCCGGACUCGGAAUGGCGCGAGACUUUGCGAGGUGACUCUGUUUGCCAAAAAUAGGCCGUGGACACUGCCGCGCCCAAAAAUAACCGCCCGAAGGCCGGGGCGCCAGGAUCGUCCAGCGGAAAAAGGCCACAAAAACGGGUGGGCUAUAGCCUUCGGGGGUGGGGCUGGCCAACUUCGUCCGCCGGACUAGGAAUGGUGCGAGAUUUUGCGAGUCGCCUCCGUGUGCCAAAAAUAGGCUGCGGGCACAGACGCCCCCAAAAAUAACCGCCCGAAGGCCGGGGCGCCAAGUUCGUCCAGCCGAAAAAGGCCACAAAAACGGGUGGGCGAUAGCCUUGGGGGGUGGGGCUGGCCAACUUCGUCCGCCGGACACGAAAUGCCGCGAGGCUUUCCGAGGGGCCUCCGUGUGCCAAAUAUAGGCUGUGGGUCAAGCCGCGCCAAAAAAUAACAGCCCGAACGCCGGGGCGCCAAGUUCGUCCAGCGGAAAAAGGCCACAAAAACGGGUGGGCUAUAGCCUUGGGGGGUGGGGCGGGCCGACUUCGUCUGCCGGAUUCGGAAUGCUGCGAGACUUUGCGAGGGGCCUCCGUGUGCCAAAAAUCGGCCACGGGCAAAGCCGCGUCCAAAAAUAACCGCCCGAAGGCUGGGGCUCCAAGUUCGUCCAGCGGAAAAAGGCCACAAAAACGGGUGGGCUAUAGCCUUGGGGGGUGGGGCUGGCCAACUUCGUCCGCCGGACUCGGAAUGGUGUGAGACUUUGCAGCGGCCUCCGUGUGCCAAAAAUAGGUCGCGGGCACAGCCGCGCCCGAAAUUAACCGCCCGAAGGCCGGGGCGCCAAGUUCGUCCAGCGGAAAAAGGCCACAAAAACGGGUGGGCUAUAGCCUUGGGGGGUGGGGCUGGCCAACUUCGUCCGCCGGACUCGGAAUGCCGCGAGACUUUGCGAGGGGCCUCCGUGUGCCAAAAAUAGGCCGAGGGCAAAGCCGCGCCCGAAAAUAACCGCCCGAAGGCCAGGGCGCCAAGUUCGUCCUGCGGUAAAAGGCCACAAAAACGGGUGGGCUAUAGCCUUGGGGAGUGGGGCUGGCCAAAUUCAUCCGCCGGACUCAGAAUGCCGCGAGACUUUGAGAGGCGCCUCCAUGUGCCAAAAAUCGGCCGCGGGAAAAGCCGCGCCCAAAAAUAACCGCCCGAAGGCCGGGGCGCCAAGUUCGUCCUGCUGAAAAAGGCCACAAAAACAGGUGGGCUAUAGCCUUGGGGGGUGGGGUUGGCCCACUUCGUCCACCAGACUCGGAAUGCCGCGAGACUUUGCGAGGGGCCUCCGUGUGCGAAAAAUAGGCCGCGGGCAAAGCUGCGCUGAAAACUAACCACCCGAAGGCCGGGGCGCCAAGUUUGUCCUGCGGAAAAUGGCCACAAAAACGGGUGGGCUAUACCCUUGGGGGGUGGGGCUGGCCGACUUCGUCCGCCGGAUUCGGAAUGCCGCGAGACUUUGGGAGGGGCCUCCGUGUGCCAAAAAUUGGCAGCGGGCUAAGCCGCGCCCAAAAAUAACUGCCCGAAGGCGGGGGUGCCAAGUUAUUCCAGCGGAAAAAGGCCACAAAAACGGGUGGGCUAUACCCUUGCGGGGUGGGGCUGGCCAACUUCGUCGGCCGGACUCGGAAUGCCGCGAGACUUUGCGAGGGGCCUCCAUGUGCCAAAAAUAGGUCGCGGGUAAAGCCGCUCCCAAACAUAACCGCCCGAAGUCCUGGGCGCCAAGUUCGUCAAGCGGAAAAUGGCCACAAAAACGGGUGGGCUAUAGCCUUGGGGGGUGGGGCUGGCCCACUUCGUCCGCCGGACUCGGAAUGCCGCGAGACUUUGCGAGGGGCCUCCUUGUGCCAAAAAUAGACCGCGGGCAAAGCCGCGCCCAAAAAUAACCGCCCGAAGGCCGGGGCGCCAAGUUCGUCCAGCGGAAAAAGGCCACAAAAAUGGGUGGGCUAUAGCCUUGGGGGGUUGGGCUGGCCAACUUCGUCCGCCGGACUUGGAAUGCCGCGAGACUUUGCGAGGGGCCUCCGUGUGCCAAAAAUAGACCGCGGACAAAGCCGCGCCGAAAAAUAACCGCCCAAAGGCCGGGGCGCCAAGUUCGUCCAGCGGAAAAAGGCCACAAAAACGGGUGGGCUAUAGCCUUGGGGGGUGGGGCUGGCCAACUUCGUCCGCCGGACUCGGAAUGCCUCGAGACUUUGCAAGGGGCCUCCGUGUGCCAAAAAUAGGCCACGGACAAAGCCGCGCCCAAAAAUAACAGCCCGAAGGCCGGGGCGCCAAGUUCGUCCAGCGGAAAAAGGCCACAAAAUCGGGUGGGCUAUAGCUUUGGGGGGUGGGGCAUGCCAACUUCGUCCGCCGGACUCGGACUGCCGUGACACUUUACGAGGGGCCUCCGUGUGCCAAAAAUAGGCCGCGGGCAAAGCCGCGCCCAAAAAUAACCGCCCGAAGGCCGGGGCGCCAAGUUCGUCCAGCGGAAAAAGGCCACAAAAACGGGUGGGCUAUAGCCUUGGGUGGUGGGGCUGGCCAACUUCGUCCGCCGGACUCGGAAUGCCGCGAGAAUUUGUGAGGGGCCUCCGUGUACAAAAAAUAGGCCGCGGGCAAAGCCACGCCCAAAAAUAACCGCCCGAAGGCUGGGGCGCCCAGUUCGUCCAGCGGAAAAAGGCCACAGAAACGGGUUGGCUAUAGCCGUGAGGGGUGGGGCAGGCCAACUUCGUCCGCCGGACUCGGAAUGCCGCGAGACUUUGCGAGGGGCCUCCGUGGGCAAAAAAUAGGCCGCAGGAAAAGCCGCCCCCAAAAAUAACCGCCCGAAGGCCGGGGCGCCCAGUUCGUCCAGCGGAAAAAGGCCACAAAAACGGGUGGGCUAUAGCCUUGGGGGGUGGCGCAGGCCGACUUCGUCCGCCGGACUCGGAAUGCAGCGAGACUUUGCGAGGGGCCUCCGUGUGCCAAAAAUAGGCCGCGGACAAAGCCGUGCCCAAAAAUAACAGUCCGAAGGCCGGGGCGCCAAGUUCGUCCAGCGGAAAAAGGCCACAAAAACGGGUGGGCUAUAGCCCUGGGGGGUGGUGCUGGCCCACUUCGUCCGCCGGACUCGCAAUGCCGUGAGAAUUUGCGAGGGGCCUCCAUGGGCAAAAAAUAGGCCGCGGGCAAUGCCGCGCCCAAAAAUAACCGCCCGAAGGCCGGGGCGCCCAGUUCGUCCAGCGGAAAAAGGCCACAAAAACGGGUGGGCUAUAGCCUUGGGGGGUGGGGAAGGCCAACUUCGUCCGCCGGACUCGGAAUGCCGCGAGACUUUACGAGGGGCCUCCGUGUUCCAAAAAUAGGCCACGGGCAAACCCGCGCCCAUAAAUAACCGCCCGAAGGCCGGGGCGCCAAGUUCGUCCAGCGGAAAAAGGCCACAAAAACGGGUGGGCUAUAGCCUUGGGGGGUGGGGCUGGCCAACUUCGUCCGCUGGACUCGCAAUGCCGCGAGAAUUUGAGAGGGGCCUCCGUGUGCAAAAAAUAGGCCGUGGGCAAAGCCGCGCCCAAAAAUAACCUCCCGAAGGCCGGGGCGCCAAGUUCGUCCAGCGGAAAAAGGCAACAAAAACGGGUGGGUUAUAGCCUUGGGGGGUGGGGCUGGCCAACUUCGAUCGCCGGACUCGGAAUGGCGCGAGACUUUGUGAAGCGCCUCCGUGUGCCAAAAAUAGGACGCGGGCACAGCCGCGCCCAAAAAUAACCGCCCGAAGGCCGGGGUGCCAUGUUCGUCAAGCGGAAAAAGCCCACAAAAACGGAUGGGCUAUAGCCUUGGGGGGUGGGGCUGGACAACUUCGUCCGCCGGACUCGGAAUGCCACGAGACUUUGCGAGGGGCCUCCGUGUGCCAAAAAUAGGCCGCGGGCAAGGCCGCCCCCAAAAAUAACCGCCCGAAGGCCGGGGCGCCAAGUUCGUCCAGCGGAAAAAGGCAACAAAAACGGGUGGGCUAUAGCCUUGGGGGGUGGGGCUGGCCAACUUCGUCCGCCGGACUCGGAAUGCCGCAAGCCUUUGCGAGGGGCCUCCGUGUGCCAAAAAUAGGCCAUGGGCCAAGCCGCGCCCAAAAAAAACCGCCUGAAGGCCGGGGCGCCAAGUUCGUCCAGCGGAAAAAGGCCACAAAAACGGGUGGGCUAUAGCCUUGGGGGGUGGCGCAGGCCGACUUCGUCCGCCGGACUCGGAAUGGCGCGAGACUUUGCAAGGCACCUUCGCAUGCUAAAAAUAGGCCUCGGGCACAGCCGCGCCCAAAAAUAACCGCCCGAAGGCCGGGGUGCCAUGUUCGUCCAGCGGAAAAAGCCCACAAAAACGGGUGGGCUAUAGCCUUGGGGGGUGGGGCUGGCCAACUUCGUCCGCCGGACUCGGAAUUGCGCGAGACCUUGCGAGGGGCCUCCGUGUGCCAAAAAUAGUCCGCGGGUAAAGCCGCUCCCAAAAAUAACUCGACGGAGGCCGGGGCGCCAAGUUCGUCCAGCGGAAAAAGGCCACAAAAACGGGUGGGCUAUAACCUUGGGGGGUGGGGCUGGUCAACUUCGUCCGCCGGACUCGGAAUUGCGCGAGACUUGCUGAGGCACCUCCGUGUGCCAAAAAUAGGCUACGGGCACAGCCGCACCCAAAAAUAACCGCCGUAAGGCAGGGGCGCCAAGUUCGUCCAGCGGAAAAAGCCCACAAAAACGGGUGGGCUAUAGCCUUGGGGGGUGGGGCUGGCCAACUUCGUCCGCCGGACUCGGAAUUGCGCGAGACCUUGCGAGGCGCCUCCGUGUGCCAAAAAUAGGCCGCAGGCACAGCCACGCCCAAAAAUAACCGCCCGAAGGCCGGGGUGCCAUGUUCGUCCAGCGGAAAAAGGCCACAAAAACGGGUGGGCUAUAACCUUGGGGGGUGGGGCUGGUCAACUUCGUCCGCCGGACUCGGAAUGGCGUGAGACUUUGCGAGGCGCCUCCGUGUGCCAAAAAUAGGCCGCAUGCACCGCCACGCCCAAAAAUAACUGCCCGAAGGCUGGGGUGCCAUGUUCGUCCAGCGGAAAAAGGCCACAAAAACGGGUGGGCUAUAACCUUGGGGGGUGGGGCUGGUCAACUUCGUCCGCCGGACUCGGAAUUGCGCGAGACCUUAAGAGGCGCCUCCGUGUGCCAAAAAUAGGCCGCGGGCACAGCCGCGCCCAAAAAUAACCGCCCGAAGGCCGGGGCGCCAAGUUCGUCCAGCGGAAAAAGGCCACAAAAACGGGUGGGCUAUAGCCUUGGGGGGUGGGGCUGGCCAACUUCGUUCGCCGGACUCGGAAUGGCGCGAGACUUUGCGAGGCGCCUCCGUGUGCCAAAAAUAGGCCGCAUGCACAGCCGCGCCCAAAAAUAACCGCCCGAAGGCCGGGGCGCCAAGUUCGUCCAGCGGAAAAAGCCCACAAAAAUGGGUGGGCAAUAGCCUUGAGGGGUGGGGCUGGCCAACUUCGUCCGUCGGACUCAGAAUGGCGCGAGACUUUGCGAGGCACCUCCGUGUGCCAAAAAUAGGCCGCAGACACAGCCGUGCCCAAAAAUAACCGCCCGAAGGCCGGGGCGCCAAGUUCAUCCAGCGGAAAAAGUCCACAAAAACGGAUGGGCUAU